GUGGCGACCGGCGCACGGGUGCGUAACGCGUAUAGAACUUACCUUUUACAGAGGGAUAGCCUUUAGAAAUGAAGAUUAAUACCUCAUAGUAUUGAAUUUUGGCAUCAAGAUUUAAUUAAAGAUUUAUCGGUAAAAGAUGGCUAUGCGUCCUAUUAGUUAGUUGGUAAGGUAACGGCUUACCAAGACAUCGAUAGGUAGGGGUCCUGAGAGGGAGAUCCCCCACACUGGUACUGAGACACGGACCAGACUCC
Molecule: ribosomal RNA, 251 nt
Filed under: uncultured bacterium
Lineage: Bacteria
Description: partial 16S ribosomal RNA
Rfam family: Bacterial small subunit ribosomal RNA
Source: RNAcentral